CCUACGGGAGGCUGCAGUGGGGAAUAUUGGACAAUGGGCGAAAGCCUGAUCCAGCCAUGCCGCGUGUGUGAAGAAGGCCUUCGGGUUGUAAAGCACUUUCAGUGGGGAAGAAAGCCUUGGGGCUAAUACCCUCGAGGAAGGACAUCACCCACAGAAGAAGCACCGGCUAACUCCGUGCCAGCAGCCGCGGUAAUACGGAGGGUGCGAGCGUUAAUCGGAAUUACUGGGCGUAAAGCGCGCGUAGGCGGUCUGAUAAGCCGGUUGUGAAAGCCCCGGGCUCAACCUGGGAACGGCAUCCGGAACUGUCAGGCUAGAGUGUAGGAGAGGAAGGUAGAAUUCCCGGUGUAGCGGUGAAAUGCGUAGAGAUCGGGAGGAAUACCAGUGGCGAAGGCGGCCUUCUGGACUGACACUGACGCUGAGGUGCGAAAGCGUGGGUAGCAAACAGGAUUAGAACCCGAGUAGUC
Molecule: ribosomal RNA, 464 nt
Filed under: Vreelandella stevensii
Lineage: Bacteria; Pseudomonadati; Pseudomonadota; Gammaproteobacteria; Oceanospirillales; Halomonadaceae
Description: partial 16S ribosomal RNA
Rfam family: Bacterial small subunit ribosomal RNA
Source: RNAcentral